AGUGGCGAACGGGUGAGUAANNCAUCGGAACGUGUCCAAGAGUGGGGGAUAACGCAUCGAAAGAUGUGCUAAUACCGCAUAUUCUCUACGGAGGAAAGCAGGGGAUCGNAAGACCUUGCGCUUUUGGAGNGGCCGAUGCCUGAUUAGCUAGUUGGUGGGGUAAAGGCCUACCAAGGCAACGAUCAGUAGUUGGUCUGAGAGGACGACCAGCCACACUGGGACUGAGACACGGCCCAGACUCCUACGGGAGGCAGCAGUGGGGAAUUUUGGACAAUGGGCGCAAACNUGAUCCAGCAAUGCCGCGUGAGUGAAGAAGGCCUUCGGGUUGUAAAGCUCUUU
Molecule: ribosomal RNA, 339 nt
Filed under: Nitrosomonas aestuarii
Lineage: Bacteria; Pseudomonadati; Pseudomonadota; Betaproteobacteria; Nitrosomonadales; Nitrosomonadaceae
Description: bacterial SSU rRNA
Rfam family: Bacterial small subunit ribosomal RNA
Source: RNAcentral